This 77-nucleotide transfer RNA is filed under the name Salmonella enterica subsp. arizonae. Its description in RNAcentral is "tRNA-Ala(tgc)". It matches the Rfam family "tRNA". From Rfam's summary of the family: Transfer RNA (tRNA) molecules are approximately 80 nucleotides in length. Their secondary structure includes four short double-helical elements and three loops (D, anti-codon, and T loops). The record is from RNAcentral. Lineage: Bacteria; Pseudomonadati; Pseudomonadota; Gammaproteobacteria; Enterobacterales; Enterobacteriaceae.
GGGGCUAUAGCUCAGCUGGGAAGAGCGCCUGCUUUGCACGCAGGAGGUCUGCGGUUCGAUCCCGCAUAGCUCCACCA